This 1295-nucleotide small RNA is filed under the name Drosophila pseudoobscura pseudoobscura. RNAcentral's name for it is "GA32266". The record is from RNAcentral. Lineage: Eukaryota; Metazoa; Arthropoda; Insecta; Diptera; Drosophilidae.
ACUCUUUCUUUUACUCAUUCUCAUUUUUGGAGGUUGGAAAAAAGUUAACGCGCAAUUUCAUAUGUCCUCUUUGGUGCCGUUCUGUGAGUGAAACGGCGAGAUGUGUGGAGGAAAAAGAAGAAAUAGAUGGGUACAGGCUGACCGGUUGAGACCAUUUCUGAUGUGUGUGCUAAGGAGGUGGCUUUUGUAUGUGCAUACAUACAUACAUACAUGCACAUGUGUGUAUGUUUAGGGUAAUUUGAAUAGCCUAUUAUUGACAAUUGCAAAUGGAAAAAGCAAGUGCAAGUGCAAGUGCGCGAAAAGACGAAUCGGGCCAAGACAAGGCUAGCGACCAGCUGGCCGCAAAGUUGUCUUUUGGCUUUAAAUCAAAAAACAAGUGCAGUAAAAAGUGGCAACAGCAACAGCAACAGCAACAAAAGCAGCGCCAUUUAACGGCUGUCAUUGUUGAUGGUGCAGUGGUUUUCAGCUGCGACGUUCGUGUUUGAUCAAGAUCAAGGCUGCAGUGUGUCGUGUGUGUGUCUGUGUGUGGGUGAGCUGGUUGCUGCCGGACAGCCCUUCAUAUUAGUUAAUGCUCAUAUUUAGCCAAGUACCAGUUUAUAACCAUUUGUGUGAGUGUGUGUGCAUAUGUGUGCUAUUACAAAUGCCAAGCACGCACAACCCUGUUGCUGCCAUUUACGGGACGGGGCGGAGCGGGGGCUGCUGGCUCUGUUGGCUCUGUUGGUCAUGGCCAGGCCUGCAGCGCAGUUGCAGCGCUGUCGCAUAAAUUCUAACUGUCGUCACACACUUACACACACGCGCGCACAUGUGAUCUAUCGCAUGCAUACAGUGGCGGACAAAAGUCAAGCCCCGCGCCAAAGGCAAAGCCCGUCGAAGUUGUCGUCUAGAAUUCGUAAUACAUUCUUUGCACCCUCUCCCUGCGAAUGGGGGAUGGAUCUUUGAUGCUACGACUGGCAAAUCGGGUAGAUGAACUCGCCUGAAAAGGGAUUCAAAGUACACACAUAGUGCAACGUAUCACCUGAUCUGCCAUAUAACAUUUGCUCUGAUCUUAGGAUCGGUGUAUAUGUAUCUACUAUACCUUACUACCAUAUAUAUUUUCGUAUAGUAUGUAUGGAUGUGUGUAUGCGGGUGGCACCUGAGCGAGAAGUACGCCCACCCAACAGCUGUCGUUGCUAUCGGCCAUGGGCGUUCAACUUGUUGUUUAUGGAAAACUACUUAAAAAACAACAGAAAGAGCAACAGAGGCAACAGAAAAGCGAAGCACAACCAAAACAAAACAAAAAGAUGCAGGCAUCCACG